UACCACUUACAGAUGGACCCGCGGCGCAUUAGCUAGUUGGUGAGGUAACGGCUCACCAAGGCGACGAUGCGUAGCCGACCUGAGAGGGUGAUCGGCCACACUGGGACUGAGACACGGCCCAGACUCCUACGGGAGGCAGCAGUAGGGAAUCUUCCGCAAUGGACGAAAGUCUGACGGAGCAACGCCGCGUGAGUGAUGAAGGUUUUCGGAUCGUAAAACUCUGUUGUUAGGGAAGAACAAGUACCGUUCGAAUAGGGCGGUACCUUGACGGUACCUAACCAGAAAGCCACGGCUAACUACGUGCCAGCAGCCGCGGUAAUACGUAGGUGGCAAGCGUUGUCCGGAAUUAUUGGGCGUAAAGCGCGCGCAGGCGGUUUCUUAAGUCUGAUGUGAAAGCCCCCGGCUCAACCGGGGAGGGUCAUUGGAAACUGGGGAACUUGAGUGCA
RNAcentral lists this ribosomal RNA (446 nucleotides) under Bacillus licheniformis. RNAcentral's name for it is "bacterial SSU rRNA". It matches the Rfam family "Bacterial small subunit ribosomal RNA", at positions 213 to 650 of the family's 1533-position model. Lineage: Bacteria; Bacillati; Bacillota; Bacilli; Caryophanales; Bacillaceae. The record is from RNAcentral.